Oncorhynchus tshawytscha (Chinook salmon) is the source of this 1005-nucleotide long non-coding RNA. Lineage: Eukaryota; Metazoa; Chordata; Actinopteri; Salmoniformes; Salmonidae. The record is from Ensembl.
CAGGCAUCCUGUUCUUUCUUGUGAACAGUCUCCGUAGAGAUGAGAGGAAUCCACCCCUUGUUUUCUUCUGAUUGGCUACAGCAGUGGAUGAAACAAUGUGGCCAUCAGCGGUAGAGGUCGACAUUUUCUCAGAAGAGUGCUCCAGGCUGGUAGCAAUAGCAUCAACUUCAUGGACCGAAGCAUUGCCACUCUCGGUUGAAAACAUAGAAAUAGUGAUGACUAGUCUACUUCUCUUGGUUGAGACAUCAGCCACAUGGACCUCAGGUUGGUUGGAGUCUCUCAGUGUGGAAUCAUCACGAUCCUUCACUCUAGCGUCACUGCUGGACAGAACCUGAGACACUAGGCCUGCAGCAGACUGGAUCAGGUCAUUCUCCACGAUGGAAACACUGGUGGACAGAACCUGAGACUCUAGGCCUGCAGCAGACUGGAUCAGGUCAUUCUCCACGAUGGUAACACUGGUGGACAGAACCUGAGACACUAGGCCUGCAGCAGACUGGAUCAGGUCAUUCUCCACGAUGGAAACACUGGUGGACAGAACCUGAGACACUAGGCCUGCAGCAGACUGGAUCAGUUCAUUCUCCACGAUGGCAACACUGGUGGACAGAACCUGAGACACUAGGCCUGCAGCAGACUGGAUCAGGUUGUCUUCCUCGAUGGAAACACUGGUGGACAGAACCUGAGGAGUCUGCAGGAGUGUCAGUGGCUCCCACUCAUCCAGGAAGAAGCUCUCGACAGAAGGGAAGCUUCUUCCUUUCAGAGCUGGGGGAAUGUAGGGGGUGUACCCAACAGUCCAGAGUAGAGAGCUGUCGAUGGCAUUCACGUAGUGGUACUUGUCACCAAGUACCUCUGCAAAGCUCUGAACAAUGUUCUGACUCUCUGACUCUGGACCACCAAGGGCGUUGAGUUGGGUCACCGUUGACAUCCACCCUGAAAGAAACACCAACACAGGGUUAACUAAACUGAUUUCAGCAUUACAAGCAAGGGAUAUUCUUCAUAUUCUUCAUG